CAAAAUUUUUGGGGACACAGAGCUCUUCCUCUAGCGCUAAUCUGAUGUCGUAAGAUCCUAACUGAUUUAAUCACCAAAGGAUCCUAAUCUGGAACAUACUCCAUGGGAUCCAGAACUUUUUUUGCAAGAUUUCUCGUGAACUUCAUCAAACUACACUCAAAGUACUCUAGUUCGGUCCAAGACCAACCUCGCCAUUUAUCCUCCAGAGCCUUGCGACAGCAGAGGAUGAUAAUAGAUCAACAGAGGAAGGAGAAAUUAGGGUUAGAAAGAGGUAGCGCAUGCCUCACCCCC
Molecule: long non-coding RNA, 291 nt
Filed under: Elaeis guineensis (African oil palm)
Lineage: Eukaryota; Viridiplantae; Streptophyta; Magnoliopsida; Arecales; Arecaceae
Description: long non-coding RNA (EGUI_LNC005224)
Source: RNAcentral